This 1242-nucleotide long non-coding RNA is filed under the name Taeniopygia guttata (zebra finch). Its description in RNAcentral is "lncRNA (ENSTGUG00000023311.1)". Lineage: Eukaryota; Metazoa; Chordata; Aves; Passeriformes; Estrildidae. The record is from RNAcentral.
GAAUAGUUAAGAGGCUUAGCCGAGUUUGUUAGUCUACAGAAGGACAUUUACAGAACCACAGGCUUCAUUUACACAUAUAUAUAAGCAGAAGACAAAAAUCAGAAAAUUUAAUCAGAUAGUGCUGCCUCUUGCUGCAAGCUUUUCAAAUCACAACAAAACAAGGAAACAAAACCCCUUAGAUACAUAGAAAAAGCUAGUAAUGCCACUAAACCAUAAAUGCCUAAACAAUUAAGUUCUUUCUUCACAAGACACUCCAACAUAAUAACAGAAAUGCCAGGUGAUCUUUGAUGUCUUGCUGUGGCACCCGAACCAGCCAAAGACUAGAAGAUCGCAGCCUGUUAGACCUGUAUCUUAACAAACUCUCUGGCACUAGCUGCCAACAAUAAAGGAGAUGAAAAAUGUCGCAUGGUAGGACAACCACGAUCUCAGCAGCCUUUGACAGCAAUUCACCACGACCGAGGAGAAAGAGCCUGUCUAAAAUCAGUACAGGCACAACCUUUGAAGACAACUAUACCUGGGAAAGUAUAAAGAGCCACAAUAACUCCGUAUAUGGGGAAAGCUUAAACCCCAAGUGUAGCUGGACAAAAGGAUAUUCUAACACUAGGCUAAGAAAAGCAUUGGCAUCCACACUGUUCAGUCUUAAUUUGGAGGGACGAUUCAAGGAAGGCCCAGGAAAUGACAGCAAGAGCCUUAUGUCUUCCCUGUAUGUGUGUCCACACAUUCAUAUUCAUAAACAGACAACAGGGCUGAGAAAAUUCCUAAUUCAACACAGAGAACUGCCGCCAAGUAUUCCACUCAGUUAUUGGCAACUGGAUUAAAUUUCCGGGGAAAAGGAAAUGUAAGGAAGACAAUGCUCCAGAAACUGGAAACAAACAAACCAAAUUUACACUAGGAAAAGCAGCAGAAGAAAAAAUCCUACGAAAGCGCCAAUAAAUGUUGGACUCAUUAAGGUCAAAAAGAUAUCACUAUGUCAUCAUUGAACCCAGUCCACAAUGAUCAAAGCAGGGGUCUGACUGCAUGUGAGAUUAGCAGAUAAUUAUUUCUAUUUAAUGACUUUGGAGUACAGCUGAUUUGGAAAGAAAAGCCAGAAAAAUUUACUGUAUUUGCCUGUGAUCUAGAAAUGAAGGCAUUUGGUUACUAACGCAUUUCCUACCAAGGAAAACAUGUGCAAGCAAGAAAACAUGCUCGAGGAGUGAAAGCAACAUGGAGAACUACUAAAAGGCUUGCUCUGCUCAAUAGGGA